This 467-nucleotide ribosomal RNA is filed under the name uncultured bacterium. RNAcentral describes it as "partial 16S ribosomal RNA". It matches the Rfam family "Bacterial small subunit ribosomal RNA", at positions 28 to 507 of the family's 1533-position model. The record is from RNAcentral.
GACGAACGCUGGCGGCGUGCUUAACACAUGCAAGUCGAACGGAAAGGCCCUGCUUUUGUGGGGUGCUCAAGUGGCGAACGGGUGAGUAACACGUGAGUAACCUGCCCUUGACUUUGGGAUAACUUCAGGAAACUGGGGCUAAUACCGGAUAGGAGCUCCUGCUGCAUGGUGGGGGUUGGAAAGUUUCGGCGGUUGGGGAUGGACUCGCGGCUUAUCAGCUUGUUGGUGGGGUAGUGGCUUACCAAGGCUUUGACGGGUAGCCGGCCUGAGAGGGUGACCGGCACAUUGGGACUGAGAUACGGCCCAGACUCCUACGGGAGGCAGCAGUGGGGAAUAUUGCACAAUGGGCGGAAGCCUGAUGCAGCAACGCCGCGUGCGGGAUGACGGCCUUCGGGUUGUAAACCGCUUUCGCCUGUGACGAAGCGUGAGUGACGGUAAUGGGUAAAGAAGCACCGGCUAACUACGUG